Molecule: ribosomal RNA, 836 nt
Filed under: Streptomyces gardneri
Lineage: Bacteria; Bacillati; Actinomycetota; Actinomycetes; Kitasatosporales; Streptomycetaceae
Description: bacterial SSU rRNA
Rfam family: Bacterial small subunit ribosomal RNA
Source: RNAcentral
CACAUGCAGUCGAACGAUGAAGCCCUUCGGGGUGGAUUAGUGGCGAACGGGUGAGUAACACGUGGGCAAUCUGCCCUUCACUCUGGGACAAGCCCUGGAAACGGGGUCUAAUACCGGAUAACACCGGCCUCUGCAUGGAGGCUGGUUGAAAGCUCCGGCGGUGAAGGAUGAGCCCGCGGCCUAUCAGCUUGUUGGUGGGGUAAUGGCCUACCAAGGCGACGACGGGUAGCCGGCCUGAGAGGGCGACCGGCCACACUGGGACUGAGACACGGCCCAGACUCCUACGGGAGGCAGCAGUGGGGAAUAUUGCACAAUGGGCGAAAGCCUGAUGCAGCGACGCCGCGUGAGGGAUGACGGCCUUCGGGUUGUAAACCUCUUUCAGCAGGGAAGAAGCGAAAGUGACGGUACCUGCAGAAGAAGCGCCGGCUAACUACGUGCCAGCAGCCGCGGUAAUACGUAGGGCGCAAGCGUUGUCCGGAAUUAUUGGGCGUAAAGAGCUCGUAGGCGGCUUGUCACGUCGGGUGUGAAAGCCCGGGGCUUAACCCCGGGUCUGCAUCCGAUACGGGCAGGCUAGAGUGUGGUAGGGGAGAUCGGAAUUCCUGGUGUAGCGGUGAAAUGCGCAGAUAUCAGGAGGAACACCGGUGGCGAAGGCGGAUCUCUGGGCCAUUACUGACGCUGAGGAGCGAAAGCGUGGGGAGCGAACAGGAUUAGAUACCCUGGUAGUCCACGCCGUAAACGUUGGGAACUAGGUGUUGGCGACAUUCCACGUCGUCGGUGCCGCAGCUAACGCAUUAAGUUCCCCGCCUGGGGAGUACGGCCGCAAGGCUAAAACUCAA